UGGGGAAUAUUGCACAAUGGGCGAAAGCCUGAUGCAGCAACGCCGCGUGAGUGAUGAAGGUCUUCGGAUUGUAAAGCUCUGUCUUUUGGGACGAUAAUGACGGUACCAAAGGAGGAAGCCACGGCUAACUACGUGCCAGCAGCCGCGGUAAUACGUAGGUGGCGAGCGUUGUCCGGAUUUACUGGGCGUAAAGGGUGCGUAGGCGGAUGUUUAAGUGAGAUGUGAAAUACCCGGGCUUAACUUGGGUGCUGCAUUUCAAACUGGAUAUCUAGAGUGCAGGAGAGGAGAAUGGAAUUCCUAGUGUAGCGGUGAAAUGCGUAGAGAUUAGGAAGAACACCAGUGGCGAAGGCGAUUCUCUGGACUGUAACUGACGCUGAGGCACGAAAGCGUGGGUAGCAACAGGAUUAGAUACCCUGGUAGUCCACGCCGUAAACGAUGAGUACUAGGUGUAGGAGGUAUCGACCCCUUCUGUGCCGCAGUAACACAUUAAGUACUCCG
RNAcentral lists this ribosomal RNA (498 nucleotides) under uncultured bacterium. Its description in RNAcentral is "partial 16S ribosomal RNA". It matches the Rfam family "Bacterial small subunit ribosomal RNA", at positions 355 to 871 of the family's 1533-position model. The record is from RNAcentral.